GAUGAACGCUGGCGGCGUGCCUAAUACAUGCAAGUCGAGGGGCAUCGGGGAUGAGCAAUCAUCUGCCGGCGACCGGCGCACGGGUGAGUAACACGUAUGCAACCUGCCCGUCACAGGGGGAUAAUCGAGAGAAAUCUCGUCUAAUACCGCAUACACUCUUCGGGAGGCAUCUUCGGGAGAGGAAAGAUUAAUUGGUGACGGAUGGGCAUGCGGGACAUUAGCUAGUUGGCGGGGUAACGGCCCACCAAGGCGACGAUGUCUAGGGGUUCUGAGAGGAA
Molecule: ribosomal RNA, 278 nt
Filed under: uncultured bacterium
Lineage: Bacteria
Description: partial 16S ribosomal RNA
Rfam family: Bacterial small subunit ribosomal RNA
Source: RNAcentral